This 440-nucleotide ribosomal RNA is filed under the name uncultured bacterium. RNAcentral describes it as "partial 16S ribosomal RNA". It matches the Rfam family "Bacterial small subunit ribosomal RNA", at positions 338 to 795 of the family's 1533-position model. The record is from RNAcentral.
CCUACGGGCGGCAGCAGUGGGGAAUAUUGCACAAUGGGGGAAACUCUGAUGCAGCGACGCCGCGUGAGUGAAGAAGUAUCUCGGUACGUAAAGCUCUAUCAGCAGGGAAGAAAAUGACGGUACGUGACUAAGAAGCCCCGGCUAACUACGUGCCAGCAGCCGCGGUAAUACGGAGGGGGCAAGCGUUAUCCGGAUUUACUGGGUGUAAAGGGAGCGUAGACGGCAGCACAAGUCUGGAGUGAAAUCCCGGGGCUUAACCCCGGAACUGCUUUUGAAACUGUGCGGCUGGAGAGCAGGAGGGGUAAGCGGAAUGCCUGGUGUAGCGGUGAAAUGCGUAGAUAUUAGACAGAACACCGAUGGCGAAGGCGGCUUACUAGACUAUAACUGACGUUGAGGCUCGAAAGCGUGGGGAGCAAACAGGAUUAGAUACCCCGGUAGUC